GGUCCGCGGAGCGUCUCUGGCGCUUACCCUGCUUUGGGCCUGCGUUGCUGCUGCUGCUCCUCCGCUCCCCCGUCGUAUCGCCUGCCCUGGAUCGAAGUGAUGGGGGAUGCCAAGGAGGCCGGAGCCGAGGGUCCGCCGGCCGGGGCCGCCGCUCGAGGAGGGCUCAGCCUCCUGUCCCAGGGAGAAUCCGAGGAAUCUUCUGCACAGGGAUCAGCUUUAUUUCUUGGAGGCAAUGAAGUGAAGAGCCGAGCUGUGGUGAAAUACUCUUCUGCCCCUCCUCGAACAGCAUUUGCACGCCUUGAAGAGAAAACAGACUUGAAACUCCCACCUGCCAACUGGUUACGAGAGAGUGCCAAACUAGGGCCAGCAGGAACUACCAUUCUUGGCAACAGCAAGAAAAGCAAGCCAUUUUCAAGCUUUGGCAUGGCAUAUGACUUUAUUGAUUCAGUGGGAAAUGAUGUGGAUGUUGUCUCUGACUCUGAAAACAUAAAAAAACUCCUGAAAAUUCCCUACAGCAAGUCGCACGUGAGCAUGGCAGUACACCGCAUAGGAAGGACUCUCUUACUAGAUGAGCUAGAUAUUCAAGAACUCUUUAUGAGAUCGUCUCAGACUGGUGACUGGACAUGGUUGAAAGAGUUUUAUCAAAGACUCAUUGAUCAGAAGUGGCAGAGGAAGAAAAAGAGCAAAGAGCACUGGUAUCAAAAGGCAAUUCUUUCCAAGUUUUUAUAUUACAGUAUCAAUGGUGAUGGAGCCGCUCAGCCUGUCUCAUCCACCGCAGAACAGCAGGAAUCGUCCAGUUCAGAUCAGACAAAUGAUUCGGAAGGGGCUUCAUGGCCUGCUCCCUUCGAAAUGCCUUCUUCAGUUUCUGAAGAUCCCAGUGCUUCCAGUCAGGGAAGUGAGCCUCUUGAACCCUCAUACAUAGUGGGGCAUGUGGCCUCAGCCCCCAAAGAACAAAACCUGAUUACUUUAUUCAAUGACGGGGAGCACAGUCAGGGUCUUAAAAAUGAUUUUGUUCGGAAUAUUCUAUGGACAUUUGAAGAUAUCCAUAUGUUGGUCGGCUCCAACAUGCCCAUAUUUGGAGGAGGCAGAUACCCAGCAGUCAGCUUACGUCUCAGGGAUAACAACAAACCAAUUAAUGUGCUAACUGGAAUUGACUAUUGGUUGGACAACUUGAUAUGCAAUGUGCCAGAGCUUGUGAUGUGUUUUCAUGUAAAUGGAAUUGUACAGAAAUAUGAAAUGAUAAAGACAGAAGAAAUUCCCAAUUUGGAAAAUUCUAAUUUUUCUACUAAAGUCAUAAAAGACAUUGCACAGAAUAUUUUAUCAUUUUUGAAAUCUAAUUGUACCAAAGAAGGACAUACCUAUUGGCUCUUUAAAGCAAGUGGCAGCGAUAUAGUGAAGCUCUAUGACCUCACUACUCUUUGUGAAGAAACUGAAGACAAAUACCAAAAUCCAUUCACAAUGCCGGUAGCCAUUCUCUUGUACAAGGUUGCUUGCAACAUGAUGAUGAAGAAGAAUCAAAAUAAGAAACACUAUGGAACUAUUAGAACAUUGCUUCUUAAUUGUCUGAAAUUACUGGACAAAAGUAGGCAUCCUCAAAUUAUUGCUUCCGCCAAUUACAUGCUUUCAGAACUUUUUCAAUUGGAUGAACCUAAAAAGGAAGAAAAUUCAGAAUCUCCUUUAAAUGAGAAUUCUGAUGAAAGUUAUAGUGAAGAGGAGGAAGAGAUGCCCGACAGUGAUGAAAAUGGAUCCUAUAGCACCAGCUCUGAUCCAUCAGAUGAUAGCAAAGCAGUAGCUAUAAUCAAGUCUGUUGGAGAACUAUCAGUACCAGAAAAAUACAAAUCUAUUCAUCAAAUCAGACCCAGUUGUGCAUUUCCAGUUUGCCAUGACACAGAAGAGCGCUGUAGACUUGUGCUUAGCUAUGUUCUAGAGGGUUUAAAAUCUGUCGAUAGCAGCAUCAAAAAAGAAAGCGACCUUCCAGCAGCUGACCCCAGCACUCCAAUCCCGUUAAAAUAUGAAGAUGAAUCCUCAAGAGGGGGUCCCGAGGGGCUAGAGAAGCAGAUGGCCUUGUUUUUGGACAAAAUGGGCUCCCUUCAGAAGGGCAAUUAUUCCAGUCAAUCUGGAAUGAUCCCUGGCUCUUGGCAACAUAAAAUGAAACUUCAGCUGAUUCUCAAGUCAUCAAAGGCCUAUUAUGUUUUGUCCGAUGCUGCCAUGAGUCUUCAGAAAUACGGAAGAGCAUUACGAUACAUUAAAUUAGCUUUGCAAAGCCAUGAUACUUAUUGCUGCCUCUGCACCAAUAUGCUUUCCGAAGUGCUGUUGUUUCUCUCUCAAUAUUUGACACUUUGUGGUGAUAUCCAACUAAUGCUGGCCCAGAAUGCAAAUAAUAGAGCAGCACACCUUGAAGAGUUUCAUUACCAAACAAAAGAAGACCAGGAGAUCCUGCAUAGCCUUCACAGAGAGUCCAGUUGCCAAGGCUUUAAAACUGGGAAGUAGAAUAAUCUGAUCCGCAGCAGCGAUAUCCCUCCCUCUUACCUCAGCACAGUGUGUAACCACGCUGCCAUUAACACAGUGAAUGAAGUAAAAGAUGAGUCUUCUGAAGGAUUUGCAUGGGCAACUGAUUUGUCUACAGACUUAGAAAGUCAACUCUCUGUUAGUUGUAAAUGUUAUGAGGCUGCUAAUGAAAUCUUGCAGUUUAGUGACUUGAAAAGCCAAAAUCCAGAACACUAUGUACAAGUAUUAAAGAGAAUGGGUAACAUUAGAAAUGAAAUUGGUGUGUUUUACAUGAAUCAGGCUGCUGCAUUACAGAGUGAGAGACUAGUGAGCAAAUCUGUGUCUGCUGCCGAGCAACAGUUGUGGAAAAAAAGCUUUUCUUGUUUUGAAAAGGGAAUUCACAACUUUGAAUCAAUUGAGGAUGCCACCAAUGCCGCCCUUUUAUUAUGUAACACGGGAAGGCUCAUGCGGAUUUGUGCGCAGGCCCACUGUGGUGCAGGGGAUGAACUGAAACGUGAAUUUUCACCAGAAGAAGGCUUGUAUUAUAAUAAGGCUAUUGAUUACUAUUUGAAAGCGCUAAGGUCAUUGGGAACACGAGACAUACACCCAGCUGUUUGGGAUUCAGUGAACUGGGAAUUGUCCACUACUUACUUUACUAUGGCAACUCUACAGCAAGAUUAUGCUCCGUUAUCUAGAAAAGCUCAGGAGCAGAUUGAGAAAGAAGUCAGUGAGGCCAUGAUGAAGUCCCUAAAAUACUGCGAUGUGGAUUCAGUGUCUGCUCGACAGCCCCUUUGUCAGUAUCGAGCUGCAACCAUCCAUCACAGGCUGGCCUCCAUGUACCACAGCUGUCUGAGGAAUCAGGUUGGUGAUGAACACCUUAGGAAACAACACCGGGUGCUGGCAGAUCUUCAUUACAGCAAGGCCGCAAAGCUGUUUCAGCUGCUGAAAGAUGCUCCCUGCGAACUGCUUAGAGUACAGCUAGAGAGAGUAGCAUUUGCUGAAUUUCAGAUGACCAGUCAGAAUAGCAAUGUUGGAAAGUUGAAAACACUAUCUGGGGCUCUUGAUAUAAUGGUGAGAACUGAGCACGCAUUCCAGCUUAUCCAGAAGGAGCUUAUAGAAGAAUUUGGCCAGCCUAAGAGUGGUGACGCCGCUGCAGCUGCUGAUGCUUCUCCUAGUCUCAAUCGAGAAGAAGUGAUGAAACUCCUCAGUAUAUUUGAGUCUCGGUUGUCAUUUCUUCUCCUUCAGUCCAUUAAACUGCUAUCUUCAACUAAAAAGAAAACAAGCAAUAACAUCGAAGAUGACACAAUUCUCAAAACCAACAAGCACAUUUACUCCCAGCUUUUGAGAGCAACUGCAAAUAAAACCGCGACUCUUCUGGAAAGAAUCAACGUUAUCGUCCACCUGCUGGGCCAGCUUGCCGCCGGCAGUGCAGCGAGCAGCAAUGCCGUUCAGUGACUGCACAGAGCCGUGUCCCAGACACGCUGUCAGUGCCUUCAACACGGAGCCGGUUUGUUCAUUCGGUGCUUUGUUUCAUUAAAUAAUAGGGAAAUAUCCAUUUAAAACAGGUAUAUCAGUGGAAACACAGAGUUAUUUUAAGUGACAGACAAAUUACGGUUGAGUUCUGUGGCUUCUUCACUUGAAGUGCUAACAUCAGAAUCAAACUUAAAGCUUCCACUAUUUAUGUCUUUGAGAAGUAUGUAGUACCUCGGUAUUAACAGACCUGCUGUGAUGCAGUUACACUUUCACGUAUUUUUGAAGUAUGUCAAGCUACACGGGUCUAAGAUAUGAUUAUUUUGGAUAAAAUGUUACUUUGGUCAAGAGAACUUUUAUCCAGAUGACAUUACAGGUUCAAGUGGGUUAAGGAGACCUCCUGUACAUCUACAGUGUUUCCUUUUAAAUUGUCCAGAAAAAAGGUGUGUUCUUCAUAAGCUUCAGUGCAGGAUUUUUCAAAGACGAGCUGUUGUGCAAUUUGCUGUAUUUAAUGCAUGUUCUGAAAGGAUUCACUUUUGACUUUAUAUGACAGUUGAUCAAGAACAGGUACUACCCCUUUUUUUCAUUUCAAACUUGAAACUGUGAAUAAGGUAAGAAAACUAUUUUGAAUAAAUAAACUAUUUAUUUAAAA
RNA transcript from Homo sapiens (human), 4609 nucleotides. It is a transcript of the gene named erythroid differentiation regulatory factor 1, with no coding region annotated. The record is from RefSeq and is marked reviewed. Lineage: Eukaryota; Metazoa; Chordata; Mammalia; Primates; Hominidae. The transcript has 26 exons.